RNAcentral lists this long non-coding RNA (3898 nucleotides) under Sus scrofa (pig). Its description in RNAcentral is "lncRNA (ENSSSCG00000053939.1)". The record is from RNAcentral. Lineage: Eukaryota; Metazoa; Chordata; Mammalia; Artiodactyla; Suidae.
GGCGUCUCGGAAGGAAAGAAGAGGACUCUCAAGCCUCGGUGGAGGGUAGCUGAAGAAAAAGCUGAGAAUGAGAUCUUCCAGUAGACAGUAUAGAACGAAAAGAGAAGGCAGCCUGCUCUCUUCUUGAAACUCAUCUGUUGAACUCUGGGAGACUACCCCAUCCUAGUUCUGUACCUGCCUCCCUACUUCUGCAUUUCAACUGUUGCUGAUCCACAAGGAUUGGACCUUCCCCCCAACCCCUUGGAGAACUUAUCUGAUGACUCAGGGUACAGGUUGCUCUGGAGCUCCAGCCCUGGGAACCCUUCUCCAGAUUGUAGAGAGAAGGAGGCAGCACAGUGUAGUGGAAAGAUCAUGGCCCAGUGAAUCAGGCAGAUGUGCGCCUCAUCACCUGGGGGAAAAAACUCCAAUCUAAACAUCCUGGUCUUCAACUGUAAGAUGACUGCCGAGCUAUGAAGUUGUUCAGAGAAUUCAAAAGGAGACAGAGUCCUGACAUGGAAAUGUAUGGUGUAGUUCGUUUGCAAUUCUUGGAUAAAUAAUGCCACAAUGAGAGGGGACAUUUUUGAGUCUAUUACACAUUGUCUGUCUACUCCCCCUGACUGAUACCUCACUCUCCUCCCUCACUGUUCUAAUGUCUUCUUUUAGCCCCCAGUCUUGGGUGUGAAGGGGGUCCUUGGCUUCCUGAAGGGAGUCAUGAUUCCUGGUGGAAGCCAGGGAGGGUGUAGCAUCCUUCUUGUGAGUUUUGUGCCACCUGAGUGUAGAUGGUUACAGGUGGGGGCUGCUUCUGCAGCAGAAUCCCUCUCCUGAGAGCUCUGCAUCUAAGUUUUCCUCUUUCUUUAGGGUUUCGAUUUUGCAAUGCAUGUGAUUUCUAUGAUGGAUUCACUUGCCUCAAGCCACAAAAAUCUUGCUCGAAAUUUAAUCUUUUCUUCCCGACGGCUUGUACCACAGACCACUUUUACUUUUAUCAUCGUCGUACAGGUAAGUGCAUGUUAGAAAGAGACAUAAAAUAUCACCUCUGGUGCCCACAAUCCCUAACAUCAAGAUGGGGAGGCAACCUGGUCCAGGGGAGGGUUGACAGAGAGAGCUUCUCCAUAUGUAGACCUGGGGUGCAGGCUGUGUGGGAGGCAGAUGUCUUUUGUCUGAGAAGCAGACACAGCCUUGGGGCUCAUUCCUGUGUACACAAAAGUGUUAAAGUUCUGGAGGGAAAUCAUGGCUUAGAAGAUGGUGAGAUUAAGCAAGGUGGUCACAUUUCCUUUUUUGUUCUCUUUAGGGAGAUAUUUCUACCGUUACUCAAAACUAUCUUGUAGGCCUUGUGAAGCAGGAAUGUCCCAAUUAUUUCAUGACUUAUUGAGAGAAACACAUUGCUGCCUUAAGGACAAGUGUAAUGAUGUUGAAAAGACUUUGGAUAUUUUUAAAUCCCCUAGAUAACAAUACAAAGAAAGUAUACAUAAAGACAGAAAAUAAAAUAAGAUUUUGAAACCAUUCUCUCCCAGUAAUCUUUGCCCUUCCUCAACCAGUGGCAACAUCAUCUUACAUUUACAUUUUACUUACAUCUUACAUGUUACAUUUCCCCAAAACCCAGACCCCACAGCUCUAUUCCAGUAGAUCUAACUAUGGAAGCUCUGUCUUUCUCAUGUCAUUGCUUCCAUUAACAAGAAAGUGCAAAGGCAUAGGCCAAAAAAAGCCAUGUCUGCCUUCUGGGUGGAUCCUCUUCUCUCUGCUACCUGUAUCUCCUGGCAAUCGUUACUUGUCCUUAAGUUCGGUUGCUAAACCUGCCCAAUUCAGCGUUCUCAAGUUUCUGGCAAAGGGAGCAAAGUGCUUUUCUGAUGGUGCUUCUGAGAGAAGAUCAGGAGAAAGCAGUUUGGAUAAAAUUAGGGACAAGAAAUCACAAAAGAUUUUGGAAUAUUUGGGAGGAGAGUAGAAGUGGUAUUUGGUGGGGGCUGGUGUUAAACAAGGGCUGGAGAAAAUCCAGGUGAAAUUAGACAACACUAACUUCUGCGAGAGGAAUAGGUAGUAUACUAGAUGUGGGAGAGUUAGUCCCUGCCACCAUUUUUUUGGAAACUACCAAGCACAGCUACUCCUGACCUUGGUAGCCCUAAGUCACCAUGUUUCUAAUCAUCUUACUCUUGAGUCAAAGCCAAGUGUAUCAGGAUGGGCAGCUGGCUGAGUGUUGGCCAGUUAUCCUAUCUCCUGGCAUGUGAGGAAUACUACCCAGUCCUCAAAAAUAUUUAAGUAUUACCUUGCAUUCAGUGCACUCAUUGAUAGAAAACUGAGGGUUUUUCAUUUAUGGGCACAGCCCGGCAACAGAAAAUGUCAAGGAGUUGUAAGCGUUUCAGAUCUUCAAUGUAGUUUUCCUAACAAAAAUAAUAAGCCAUGAAAUGACAAAAAUCAAUCCCAAAUUAUUAUUCACUGACUUUAGGUUAAAAUGUUUUACCAUAUUGAUAUUCUGAUGUGUUAGAAAAUACAGACACUGUUAUUUUUUACCAUAGAUUUAUAUACACAUAUAUAUUAUUCUAGGUUUUGUAGUAUUCCUCCUGAUAUCCAGGUUAUGAGUUUCUAUCAUUUUAUUUGCCCACAUAGAAAUUUUUUUUUUUUUUUUUUUUUUGCUUUUUAGGGCCGCACCCAUGGUAUAUGGAGGUUCCCAGGCUAUGGGUCAAAUCAGAGCUCUAGCUACUGGCCUAUACCACAGCCACAGCAACUCAAGAUCCGAGCUGUGUCUGUGACCUACACCACAGCUCACGGAUCCUUAACCCACUGAGCAAGACCCGCGUACUCAUGGAUACUUGUGGAUUCAUUUCCGCUGCACCACAACAGAAACUCCAAAAAAUAUUAAUAUGUAAAUUAAUUUUAAAAUAUUUUCAAUAAGUGUAUUCUGGAAUUUCCCCAAAAUUGUGUCGUGUUAUAAUGAGUAUUAUACUUUAACCUCUUUCAAAGUAGAAAAUAUGGUGGAUUCUUCCAUUCUGGGUUGUUUAUUUAGUUUAUAUGACUAGAAUGGUUCCAAAUAUUAUAUGAUUCAUGGGGGGCUUACUGUGAAGUGUGAUUAGUGUCUAGAAUGGUCUCAAGUCAAACUAGAAACAAAGUACACACUUCAAAUUAAAGAGAUACAAUGUGAGGAAGGUUACUGGGAGCAGGAAGAAUAGGGGUACACACUAAGUGAUAGACAGAUGGAGACUGAUUGUCACACCCAGGGCUAAGCUCAAAGUGAAGAUUCAUAAAAUCCCAUGGUGCAGCCCCUAGAGUUUCAUCCUAUCCAGACUGACCCUCCAGGUCCACUCCUUCUGAGCUUGUCCUAGAUGUCUCCUGUCUUGGAGUUCCAUGAGAUUCUCAACUCCCGCAUUGCCUCAUGUUACAAUACCCUGUCACACCCUAAUUUUCUUGGUCCAAUUGUUGUGCAAUUCCAUUCUUUACAUUUUACAGAAUAAAGGACAAGUACACAAAAACCAAGUGGGAAGUAGAGGGGAAAACAAGGCAGGCCAAACCCUGAGCAAGUGCACUAGUUCUAGAUUCAGGUCCAGAAAUCUCUUUCAGGCCAAAGAUCCUUUAGUUGGAGGUGGAGUUAAGCUGACAAAAUUGAUCAAAGAAGAUAACCCAUCAUACAGAACUUUAAGGGUUAGUAAUAUUCAGAAAAAUAGGGUUCCUUUUGUAUAAAUGUGUGUAAAAUCAUAGAUUUCCAAUAAAAAUGUGUUCAUUACUGAAAUAUUAUCAGAAAAUUACAUCUCAAAGCUUCUGUUUGCAAGUUUUGUAUAAGUUGUAAUUGCAUUGGCAUCCAGCAACCUGGCUCUAAGAUCUCCAGUAGGCUCUAUGUGGAAACAUUAUGUGAUCUGGGACUCCUUAUUUGACCUCAGGUUUUAGUGGACUGGGCUCUAAAUCAACUGGUGAAUGUUUCAAAAUGUGCCCUGUG